AACGAACGCUGGCGGCAGGCUUAACACAUGCAAGUCGAACGCCCCGCAGGGGGAGUGGCAGACGGGUGAGUAACGCGUGGGAAUCUACCCAGAUCUUCGGAACAACACAGGGAAACUUGUGCUAAUACCGGAUACGCCCUACGGGGGAAAGAUUUAUCGGAUUUGGAUGAGCCCGCGUUGGAUUAGCUAGUUGGUGAGGUAAUGGCUCACCAAGGCGACGAUCCAUAGCUGGUCUGAGAGGAUGAUCAGCCACACUGGGACUGAGACACGGCCCAGACUCCUACGGGAGGCAGCAGUGGGGAAUAUUGGACAAUGGGCGAAAGCCUGAUCCAGCCAUGCCGCGUGAGUGAUGAAGGCCUUAGGGUUGUAAAGCUCUUUUAGUGGGGAAGGUAAUGACGGUACCCACAGAAAAAGCCCCGGCUAACUUCGUGCCAGCAGCCGCCGUAA
RNAcentral lists this ribosomal RNA (447 nucleotides) under uncultured bacterium. Its description in RNAcentral is "partial 16S ribosomal RNA". It matches the Rfam family "Bacterial small subunit ribosomal RNA", at positions 29 to 523 of the family's 1533-position model. The record is from RNAcentral.